This 274-nucleotide ribosomal RNA is filed under the name uncultured bacterium. RNAcentral describes it as "partial 16S ribosomal RNA". It matches the Rfam family "Bacterial small subunit ribosomal RNA", at positions 523 to 796 of the family's 1533-position model. The record is from RNAcentral.
AUACGGGGGGAGCAAGCGUUAUUCGGAAUCACUGGGCGUAAAGGACGCGUAGGCGGGUUUGUAAGUCAGGUGUGAAAUCCUACAGCUCAACUGUAGAACUGCACUUGAAACUACAGACCUAGAGUAUGGAAGGGGCAGAUGGAAUUAGUGGUGUAGGGGUAAAAUCCGUAGAUAUCACUAGGAAUACCGAAAGCGAAGGCGAUCUGCUGGGACAUUACUGACGCUGAGGCGUGAAAGCGUGGGGAGCAAACAGGAUUAGAAACCCCGGUAGUCC